RNAcentral lists this long non-coding RNA (299 nucleotides) under Trifolium pratense (red clover). RNAcentral describes it as "long non-coding RNA (TPRA_LNC004350)". Lineage: Eukaryota; Viridiplantae; Streptophyta; Magnoliopsida; Fabales; Fabaceae. The record is from RNAcentral.
AAGUUAGGGAGGAUACUUCAAAUUUGAUUUCCCCCGUCUCCUCUUUUCCUCCUUCUUCAAUGGGGUCACAUUGCGAUCACAAAGCAACAAUUUUUUGAUGACCGGAUGACUCACAAACUUUAUCCACUUGUGCUUCCAUUUUUUUCUUUUCUUCUUCUUUAGCCUUUUAGGAGCUUCCAUGGAAUCUUCCAUACUAACUUCCCUUUUUGGACCCACAUGAACCGAAUUUACCUGAAAGCUAUCGGAAAUAAUACUCAUCAAACCAAUUUCAAAUAUCUUCAUCACUUCAUUCUUCACCA